GUGUCAGCCGCCGCGGUAAGACGAACCGUGCGAACGUUGUUCGGAAUCACUGGGCUUAAAGGGCGCGUAGGCGGGCAAGCAAGUUAGGGGUGAAAUCCCACGGCUCAACCGUGGAAGUGCCUUUGAUACUGCCUGUCUUGAGGGAGGUAGGGGCGUGCGGAACUUCCGGUGGAGCGGUGAAAUGCGUAGAUAUCGGAAGGAACACCGGUGGCGAAAGCGGCGCGCUGGACCUCUACUGACGCUGAGGCGCGAAAGCCAGGGGAGCAAACGGGAUUAGAUACCCCCGUAGUCC
RNAcentral lists this ribosomal RNA (292 nucleotides) under uncultured bacterium. Its description in RNAcentral is "partial 16S ribosomal RNA". It matches the Rfam family "Bacterial small subunit ribosomal RNA", at positions 505 to 796 of the family's 1533-position model. The record is from RNAcentral.